RNAcentral lists this long non-coding RNA (271 nucleotides) under Elaeis guineensis (African oil palm). Its description in RNAcentral is "long non-coding RNA (EGUI_LNC011682)". The record is from RNAcentral. Lineage: Eukaryota; Viridiplantae; Streptophyta; Magnoliopsida; Arecales; Arecaceae.
GGGUGGAACCACCUCAAGGGUGUCCAAUCUCAUUCAUCUUGUACAUGGAUGAAUUUAAAAGACAAUCUCAUCGAUCUAAGAUUAGCGGCAGCAAUUAUACCCACUCGAUCAUUAUCAUAUGUUUAAACUGAAUAUAAUGCGAGAUUACAUAAGAAGUUGUUAAAUUAACCACAAUUAUAACCAUUGCCGUGCAGUUAAUAUAUAUUUCAUCCAUUUCGAUAAUAGUUAUCAAAUUUUUUCUAUAAAUAAGGAUAAAUAGAGCCCCCUCAUA